This 504-nucleotide ribosomal RNA is filed under the name Triticum aestivum (bread wheat). RNAcentral describes it as "partial small subunit ribosomal RNA". The record is from RNAcentral. Lineage: Eukaryota; Viridiplantae; Streptophyta; Magnoliopsida; Poales; Poaceae.
AUGGAGAUGUUGUCAGUGUUAGGCGAAGAUGGAGCAGUUAAGUUCUCCACUAGCAAGCAAAUGGGAGCGAGUGAGGGGGCACUUACACCAGGGAAGGAUCUUCCAGCGCUGGUUGUCGCCCUCGCACCACUUCCACAGCACGAGGGAGGUGCCGUCGCGCACGCCGCCGUGCUCCUUGUCGCCGUGGAGAGCGUCAAAGUUGAGGCGGAUGUUGUUCACCAUGCGAAUGCAGCGGAAGCCCUUGCCGACGUCGCUGCUCUCCGUCCACAUCACGGACUCGUCGAGGUACUCCGGGUUGAAUGGCACGAGCUUCACCGGUGGGACUGGCCGAGCGAGUGCUUGACGGCGAGGCCAGUGGCCUUGUUGACGAUGGCAAAGGCGGGGUUGCCCUCCUCGUCCUUGAUCUGGCUGCUGAAGCGCAUGUCCUUGAACCAGUGCUGGUGCUCGUCGCGGGGGUUGGAGGGGGCGAGGACGACGUUGCCGUCGCGGACGGAGAGGCAGUAG